ACUAAACUUGAUUACCUCUGUCAUGAGAGUGGAUUGGUAAGCCCUUAAGAUCAUUGUCUAAGGAUUAGCUCUUUGUUGAUUGAGUUUUGUUAAGCAACCUAGAUAGAUUAAGUUUAAUACCAACCAAUAAUUCUCAUCCUUAGGAUCUAUUUGCUACUUGUUUGCUUCUGUUUCUAGCAUUUAAUUACUUGUCUUUUCUGCUUUAUAGUUUCUGCACUUUAGUUUUGCAUUUAAUCUUGUGUUCUGCAUCACUCGACCAUGCACUCGACCUUGGUUCAUACCAUGCUCGCUCGAGUGCUAGGUCGAGCUCCAGUUUAAUUUCUUGUUUGUGCAUUGUUCUGUUCUUUUCUAGUUUGCUCUUGUUUAUUUCCUGUUUAAUUUAGUUUUCAUCCUGUUUAUUUACUGCUUUUUGUUACUCUUGCUUCUUUAUAUUCUGCAUUGAUUUCAUUUAUUUAUCUUGCAUUUAGUUUCUGUUUAAGUACUUUACAUUUUUCAUUUUACAUUUCUGUUUCAUUAUGUUGAUAGAAUACCACCCCAUUUCUGAAUUGGCUUAACUUGUACUAUCUUGAUUGCAUCUUUUGUGAUUAGCAUAAUCCCAUUUGGAUUGACACCUUAAGUACUACAAUGCAUAAGGGUAAUUGUGACUGCUAGGAUUAGGAGAGACACAAAAAUCCUAGUAUCAGAUUUGAUCCAACCUUUGAAUAACAAAAAUUACUUCCGCUUCGAAGAUCUCGAUGAUAUAAAUCGUGGCAAGAGUAACUCAUCCCAUCACUUUGGAUGUUUGUGGGUGCAUCGUUCAUGUGGACGUCAUAAGAAGACGUGAAGAUGGCAGCUGUGGUGAACUUGUCUUCACUCUACUGAAUGGCAGGAAUGAAAAAAUCAAAUGUCGUCUCAUAGACUUCUAUGCCUCUCGAUUUAUCACUCUUUGGGAAUCAAACGGGUAUCCUGAUCUCGUCAAAUCUGAACCAGUGUUUUGUGUCUUCCGGUUCUGUAAGGUUGGGAGAUAUGAAGGUGUACCAUGUCUUGUACACACCGUGGCCUCUUCUAGAAUAUUCAUAAAAGCAGAUUUCGAUGGACUUGAACAUCACCAACAUCUCACGGUAUCACAUUAACCAUGUGAUGCGACACGAUGGGUAGAGGGUUGUGACACAAGAUGAAACAAUGUCUCAUGAAGGAGAGAUAACAAAUGUGGUUUUCUAUUCCAUAUAUUGUAUUUUUUGAAUGGUCUGAAAGCUUGUACUAAGUCUGAACAAAAUUUGGUACCUGAUUGCUGUAAUUAAUCAGAAGGACAAACGAUGAUAAGUCUUGAUUUGUUAGGUCUACGUACACAAGGUUACAUAACCGUAUAUUCAAUCAAGCGUAAA
Camelina sativa (false flax) is the source of this 1364-nucleotide long non-coding RNA. RefSeq lists it as uncharacterized. The record is from RefSeq and is a predicted model, not a curated record. Lineage: Eukaryota; Viridiplantae; Streptophyta; Magnoliopsida; Brassicales; Brassicaceae.